Molecule: transfer RNA, 64 nt
Filed under: Tonicina zschaui
Lineage: Eukaryota; Metazoa; Mollusca; Polyplacophora; Chitonida; Ischnochitonidae
Description: tRNA-Ile
Source: RNAcentral
GGUAUUACGCCGGCUGAACGGGGUACAUUGAUGUUGUAUAUUAUAAGAUAGUUCUUUAAUACUU